RNAcentral lists this ribosomal RNA (471 nucleotides) under uncultured organism. RNAcentral's name for it is "partial 16S ribosomal RNA". It matches the Rfam family "Bacterial small subunit ribosomal RNA", at positions 334 to 797 of the family's 1533-position model. The record is from RNAcentral.
CACUCCUACGGGAGGCAGCAGUGGGGAAUAUUGCACAAUGGGCGCAAGCCUGAUGCAGCCAUGCCGCGUGUAUGAAGAAGGCCUUCGGGUUGUAAAGUACUUUCAGCGGGGAGGAAGGCGAUAAGGUUAAUAACCUUGUCGAUUGACGUUACCCGCAGAAGAAGCACCGGCUAACUCCGUGCCAGCAGCCGCGGUAAUACGGAGGGUGCAAGCGUUAAUCGGAAUUACUGGGCGUAAAGCGCACGCAGGCGGUCUGUCAAGUCGGAUGUGAAAUCCCCGGGCUCAACCUGGGAACUGCAUUCGAAACUGGCAGGCUAGAGUCUUGUAGAGGGGGGUAGAAUUCCAGGUGUAGCGGUGAAAUGCGUAGAGAUCUGGAGGAAUACCGGUGGCGAAGGCGGCCCCCUGGACAAAGACUGACGCUCAGGUGCGAAAGCGUGGGGAGCAAACAGGAUUAGAAACCCUAGUAGUCCC